UACUAUGGCCAGACCACGUUGUCAAAGCCUGAUCUUGUCUGAUUUCUGAAGCAGGGCUCGGGCUGGUUAGUACUUGUAUGGGAGACUGUUGGAAAUAUCAGGUGCCACAUUCC
RNAcentral lists this ribosomal RNA (113 nucleotides) under Periophthalmus magnuspinnatus. The record is from RNAcentral. Lineage: Eukaryota; Metazoa; Chordata; Actinopteri; Gobiiformes; Gobiidae.